This 318-nucleotide ribosomal RNA is filed under the name uncultured bacterium. Its description in RNAcentral is "bacterial SSU rRNA". It matches the Rfam family "Bacterial small subunit ribosomal RNA", at positions 29 to 348 of the family's 1533-position model. The record is from RNAcentral.
AACGAACGCUGGCGGCAUGCCUUACACAUGCAAGUCGAACGGGCAGCACGGGGGCAAUCCUGGUGGCGAGUGGCGAACGGGUGAGUAAAGCAUCGGAACGUGCCCUGGAGUGGGGGGAUAACGUAGCGAAAGUUACGCUAAUACCGCAUAUUCUGUGAGCAGGAAAGCAGGGGAUCGCAAGACCUUGCGCUCUGGGAGCGGCCGAUGUCGGAUUAGCUAGUUGGUGGGUAAAGGCCUACCAAGGCGACGAUCCGUAGCGGGUCUGAGAGGAUGAUCGCCACACUGGGACUGAGACACGGCCCAGGACUCCUACGGAGG